RNAcentral lists this ribosomal RNA (440 nucleotides) under uncultured bacterium. Its description in RNAcentral is "partial 16S ribosomal RNA". It matches the Rfam family "Bacterial small subunit ribosomal RNA", at positions 338 to 795 of the family's 1533-position model. The record is from RNAcentral.
CCUACGGGGGGCAGCAGUAGGGAAUAUUGCUCAAUGGGGGAAACCCUGAAGCAGCAACGCCGCGUGGAGGAUGAAGGUUUUCGGAUUGUAAACUCCUUUUGUUAGAGAAGAUAGUGACGGUAUCUAACGAAUCAGCACCGGCUAACUCCGUGCCAGCAGCCGCGGUAAUACGGAGGGUGCAAGCGUUACUCGGAAUCACUGGGCGGAAAGAGCGCGUAGGCGGGAUAGUAAGUCAGAUGUGAAAUCCUAUGGCUUAACCAUAGAACUGCAUUUGAAACUGUUAUUCUAGAGUAUGGGAGAGGUAGGUGGAAUUCUUGGUGUAGGGGUAAAAUCCGUAGAGAUCAAGAGGAAUACUCAUUGCGAAGGCGACCUGCUAGAACAUAACUGACGCUGAUGCGCGAAAGCGUGGGGAGCAAACAGGAUUAGAUACCCGAGUAGUC